This 253-nucleotide ribosomal RNA is filed under the name uncultured bacterium. RNAcentral's name for it is "partial 16S ribosomal RNA". It matches the Rfam family "Bacterial small subunit ribosomal RNA", at positions 524 to 776 of the family's 1533-position model. The record is from RNAcentral.
UACGGGGGGGGCAAGCGUUGUUCGGAAUUACUGGGCGUAAAGGGCUUGUAGGUGGCCAACUAAGUCAGACGUGAAAUCCCUCAGCUUAACUGGGGAACUGCGUCUGAUACUGGAUGGCUUGAGUUUGGGAGAGGGAUGCGGAAUUCCAGGUGUAGCGGUGAAAUGCGUAGAUAUCUGGAGGAAUACCGGUGGCGAAGGCGGCAUCCUGGACCGGCAUUGACGCUGAAGCGCGAAAGCUAGGGGAGCAAACGGG